This 447-nucleotide ribosomal RNA is filed under the name uncultured bacterium. RNAcentral's name for it is "partial 16S ribosomal RNA". It matches the Rfam family "Bacterial small subunit ribosomal RNA", at positions 29 to 523 of the family's 1533-position model. The record is from RNAcentral.
AACGAACGCUGGCGGCAGGCCCAACACAUGCAAGUCGAACGCUCCGCAAGGGGAGUGGCGCACGGGUGAGUAACGCGUGGGAAUCUACCUAUUAGUAAGGAAUAACAGUUGGAAACGAUUGCUAAUACCUUAUACGCCCUACGGGGGAAAGAUUUAUCGCUAAUAGAUGAGCCAGCGUAAGAUUAACUAGUUGGUGAGGUAAUGGCUCACCAAGGCUACGAAGUUUAGCUGGUCUGAGAGGAUGAUAAGCCACACUGGAACUGAGACACGGUCCAAACUCCUACGGUAGGCAGCAGUGGGAAAUAUUGAACAAUGGGCGAAAGCCUGAUCCAGCCAUGCCGCGUGAAUGAUGAAGGCCUUAGGGUUGUAAAGGUCUUUCGCCGCCGAGGAUAAUGACGGUAAGCGGAUAAGAAGCCCCGGCUAACUUCGUGCCAGCCGCCGCUGUAA